GACCCGAUGGCACAGUUGGUUAGUGCGUCUGCUAAUCCAUGACAUUUUGGACAAGUGGGCAAGUUCAGCAGGAGGCCCCCGUUCGAUCCGGGGUCGGGUCA
Non-coding RNA from Mycena alexandri, 101 nucleotides. Lineage: Eukaryota; Fungi; Basidiomycota; Agaricomycetes; Agaricales; Mycenaceae. The record is from the annotation of a GenBank genome assembly.